UCACAUUUCCUAUGACAAAGUGAUUGCUGAACCUCAGUUAUUCAUUCCAACGGUGUACAAUAAAAGAUUCAUCAGUUUAUAUCUGUUCAUAACAGCAAUCCCACUAAGGAGCCCGAUAUUUUUUGACACUUUGACUAAUCCUGUGGGAUUCAUCGAGCUGUAACGAACUAACAAGACUGAAUACGCAUUACAAUCGCAUCGAACACUCGCAGAAAACAGAAUAUACAUUAAGAAUUCGCUAUUCCAACAUGUAGAACGUCGCAGACCCUAAAGACGCCGCAUUUAGCUCAAUGGCAUCAAA
Molecule: long non-coding RNA, 301 nt
Filed under: Phoenix dactylifera (date palm)
Lineage: Eukaryota; Viridiplantae; Streptophyta; Magnoliopsida; Arecales; Arecaceae
Description: long non-coding RNA (PDAC_LNC016123)
Source: RNAcentral